UGGGGAAUAUUGGACAAUGGGCGAAAGCCUGAUCCAGCCAUGCCGCGUGUGUGAAGAAGGCCCUUUGGUUGUAAAGCACUUUAAGUGGGGAGGAAAAGCUUGUGGUUAAUACCCAUAAGCCCUGACGUUACCCACAGAAUAAGCACCGGCUAACUCUGUGCCAGCAGCCGCGGUAAUACAGAGGGUGCAAGCGUUGAUCGGAAUUACUGGGCGUAAAGCGCGCGUAGGUGGUUAUUUAAGUCAGAUGUGAAAGCCCCGGGCUUAACCUGGGAACUGCAUCUGAUACUGGAUAACUAGAGUAGGUGAGAGGGGAGUAGAAUUCCAGGUGUAGCGGUGAAAUGCGUAGAGAUCUGGAGGAAUACCGAUGGCGAAGGCAGCUCCCUGGCAUCAUACUGACACUGAGGUGCGAAAGCGUGGGUAGCAAACAGGAUUAGAUACCCUGGUAGUCCACGCCGUAAACGAUGUCUACCAGUCGUUGGGUCUUUUAAAGACUUAGUGACGCAGUUAACGCAAUAAGUAGACCGCCUGGGGAGUACGGCCGCAAGGUUA
This 549-nucleotide ribosomal RNA is filed under the name uncultured bacterium. RNAcentral describes it as "bacterial SSU rRNA". It matches the Rfam family "Bacterial small subunit ribosomal RNA", at positions 355 to 896 of the family's 1533-position model. The record is from RNAcentral.